Leucoraja erinaceus (little skate) is the source of this 2079-nucleotide long non-coding RNA. RefSeq lists it as uncharacterized. The transcript has 4 exons. The record is from RefSeq and is a predicted model, not a curated record. Lineage: Eukaryota; Metazoa; Chordata; Chondrichthyes; Rajiformes; Rajidae.
UGCAUCGACAUCCAUAACCAUGCGUUGCCGCUCGCCACAGGGUAUUCUAAUGACGUUACACGCAUCAGAGGGCUGUGCUGAUGCGUGAUUUGCACGCAACGAUGCGCAUCACGACGCAUCGUCCUAUUUUACGUAUUGAAGUUAUUAGUAACGCGGUGAUCACAAAGAUGCUCCUGUUAAAAGCAAACACCCAUUCUAAUUUAAUUCAUUUUAUAAUUGACUGUAGGAUAGCGUUAAUUUUUGAUAUGCUUGAUAUGUUUUAAAACAAUUGAUCAGUUCUAAUUCAAUGCAAUCGUCGACCUUUCUGGCUAAGGCAUUAAUAAAAGCACUGUCAACACUGCGUGACAAGCAUUCUUCAUCGAUAAUAAGUUCUGAUCAAAGCUAACGGUUUGAAUCACAUUCCCAAGAUCAGCAGGAAGCAAUUACAGUUGUUGACUGGCAAGGAAUUCGACUAACGUUACCCUUCUUCUAUGUUCGUUGGAUGCUAAGAAUGAAACAAUCUAAAGUUGUUACUGUGGUUUCAACUGUAUAAUCUGAAUAAGAUGUGAAAGGUUAUUGUUGAAAUUGUAUUGAAUGUGAGUGUUCUCAAAUGAUCUCGCUUUAGAAAAGAUGUCUGAGCACAUUUUCUUUUCUAUAUUUUAUCCUGCGUGGUUUUGUUGACUGAUCAUUGUCAGAAACAAACUGUAGGCUACUUAAUUUCAGUGGAACUGUCUGAGUUAAGUCACGAGAAGGGCACACCAGAUCAAAUGCUUUGCAAAUGAGAUCAUAUCCACAUUUCCAGCAUAUACGAAGCAGGAAGCUUUACUCCGAGAUGUGAGCUAUGAUUGUAGAACUGUGAGCUGAAUGACAGAGACUCAUCAAGUGCUCAGUGUUACAGAGCCUCUCAGACACAGGGCCUCCUAAAUGAAAGCUUUCUGUCGAGGGGGGAGAGCGCGGCGUUUUCAUCAGGUGCAGCUGCAUCAUGUGUCAGCUGUGGCCAGUUUGUCACUUUUACCUCUGAGUCAACAUUUGCUGAUUUAAACCUCACUCCAUGGACCUGAGCACAACAUCAAGACUGAGGCUCUGUAUGUUUCUAUGGUGCAAUGAUCUCAUGGUAUAAUUUUGACAAAGGACAGAUGAGUUAUUCCUGACAUCGGCCAAUACUUUGCCCUCAAUGAACAACACACAAAGAGGGAGUUUCAACAACUGUUUUAAAAGAAUGGGAACAGAUGCAGUUGACAGGAGAAGGCCUGCAGCAGUCAGCGCGUUUCUUCAUUCCUCACAGAAUGUGUUCAGGCACUACACACAAUGGGAAAAUACUCCGAAACUUCCAUUUGCAGGGAAGGAAAUAAUUUGUCAUUUUUAAUUUAUCUUGUUCGGCUGGGCAUGGUGCACAGAUUGCGCAACAGGGAGUGAUCCUAAUAAACCCACUGAGCAAUUAUUUUUAAGUUCAGCAGCAGCUAAGUCCCGUAUUUCUUAGGUCUCCCCAAACCGUAGCUGGUCUCUGCGGCCACAGUGACUGCAUUGUUCCCGGAUGCCCUGGGAUCCCACCUGUGGCACUCUGGCAUCAGCGCAUGCAUGCAUGUGUCUCCCUGCAUAACUGGCAUCGCAGGGAAACGAUUCUUAGCUCAGCUAGCAUUUUAGCCAUUAAGUGACUCCAAUACACAAACUGCAAUCCUUACAGUAAAUUGGGAAGAUUAAUAACCACCCACAUAGCCACAUCAUAAAUGGAUAUAUUUAUUAUUGCAGCAUAAUUCAUGAACAUGUGUAAAUGUUCUACUGAUAAUCUGAAAUGUGCAAUGAGAAUCUGAAAUCUGAACUACUCAAAUUAAAUGCACAGAAAGGUCGUACCUGCAACUUUCAUCAUUGUAACUGGGUCACGACUUCAAUAGACAGGAUUAAAGGUGAGAUUGCAGUCUGAAGAAGGGUUCUGACCCGAAACAUCACCUGUUCCUUUUCUCCAGAGUUGCUGCCUGGCCCGUUGAGUUGCUCCAGUACUUUGUGUAUAUCUUCAGUGUAAACCAGCAUAUGCAGUUCCUUCCUACACAUUAAUUCAAUUAUUUUGCCGAACAUUAUUCUUGCACUUGCAUAACAGAACAU